Molecule: long non-coding RNA, 1793 nt
Filed under: Anthonomus grandis grandis
Lineage: Eukaryota; Metazoa; Arthropoda; Insecta; Coleoptera; Curculionidae
Description: uncharacterized LOC126739998
Source: RNAcentral
UUUGAGCAUAUUUAAACAUUUUCAGUUUUUUCAUAGUUUUUAACAGGUACAUUUGAUUGUUGACACCUUGUCACCAUUUAAUCGAAUGGAAACAGCAUGUAUUACUUUACGUAAAUGUCAGUAAGUGUCAAAUUGCAAAGUUUAAAAGUAUGGCGCGUUUAACUGAAAAACAAAGAAUUGAAAUUUUAAUGAAGGUAGGAUAUGGCGACAAGACUCGAACACAGGCCGAAUUUUGCGAUCUGUUUAACAAUAAGUACCCGGAGAGGCCUAUAUUAGACAUUCGGUAAUAAGCAAAAUUUAAAAAAAAGGUUAGAGAUUUUGGUCAUGUUAGAGACAAAUAUGACCUGGACCGUGCCACGCUUCCAGAAAACAAACAAUUAGAUAUUUUACUCGAUUUACAAGAAAAUCCACAUAAAUCAACUCGACAAGUUGCUGCAGAUCAGUCGGUUAGUAAAUCAUGUGUUGUAAAAUAUUUGCAUAAGAAUAAAUGGCAUCGAUAUAAAAUUCAUUUAAUUCAGGAGCUUAUUAAAAAUUAUCACAUCCACGGAAUAGAGUUUUGCGAAAUAAUGAUGACUAAAUAUAAUGCAAACCCACAAUUUUUAAGUAAAAUUUUCGUUAUUGGGCACCAGAAAAUCCACACUGGAGUAUAAAAACUCACACACAAUUUCCCAAGAAGUUAAACUUAUGGGCAGGAAUUCUGGGCACGUCAAUGGAUUGUAUUCGAUGUUCGGUGCAGAGUAGACGUGUUUUACACCGCUCCUAAAUUACAGCAAAUAUCUACAGUUUAUUGCAAGUUUUAAAAACAUAACAGUUCUCCAGAGUGAUAGGUUAGCAAGACAGAGUUAAUUUCAGAGAAAAAAGUAAAGGUAAUUAGCUGUAAUUAAAAUAUGCCUUUAACCAAAAAUCAAAAAGACGAUAUUAAACAGUGUAUAUCUGAAUGUUUAUACGACAAGAAUUUCAUAGCGACCUUGGCCACUGCAGUUGCCGAAAUUAUUUCGAAGUCAUUCUCCGAGAAAAUAGAGAAACUACAAGCGCAAGUCACCGAUCUAAACACAAAAUUGGAGGAAAGUCAAAAUAAAGUUUCGGAGCUGCAUUUAAAGGUAGACAAUUUAGAACAAAAUUCGAAAGCUAAGCAGCUUAGGCUCUAUGGAUUAAAGAAAUCCAAUGGUAAAAAACUAAAAGAAAAAGUCCAGCAAACCCUUGCUGUUAAAUUGAAAAUAGAUGAUUUAGAUAUAGAUGCGUGUCAUAGAAUAGGACAGAAAAAUCCGACUGACAGCAAACCGCGGCCGGUAAGAAUGUUUUUUAACUCCGUGGCAGCCAGGCAAGAAGUUUUUAAGAAAAAAAUACUUAAAGGAUCCAAUAUGGUCGUUGCUGAAGAACUAACAAACCACAAAUACCAUCUGUUGCAGCUAGCUAAAGAGAAAUUCGGAAAAGAAAACGCCUGGUCAAAAACUGGGAAAAUUUAUGUAACGAAAGAUGGAAAGAGUGAAAUAAUAAAAACUGAGAAACAAUUGGAACAAUCAUUGUAAUUUUUUAGGGGUAAAAAGGUGAAAUGCGUUAACUUAGUAAGAAUUUUUGAUUUUUUUUUCUUUGUCACUUUUGUUCAUAUCCUGUUUUUUUUUUAUAUAUAAGCUUCUGUUUACUUUUAUAUACUAGAUUCCUAAUUUUUUGAUUUCGAUUUUAAAAUUCGUAUCAAGUUAGUAGAGUACCUAUCCUACGUAGCCACAAAUCUGUAACUUAUAUCAACCUAUCGUUUUUUAUUUGAGGGAAAAAAAGAAAAACACUUUUUUGUA